Molecule: long non-coding RNA, 222 nt
Filed under: Mytilus galloprovincialis (Mediterranean mussel)
Lineage: Eukaryota; Metazoa; Mollusca; Bivalvia; Mytilida; Mytilidae
Source: RNAcentral
GGGAUACGAUUGCCAUAGUUUUCAUUGACACAUGUAUAGCAGUUCUGCAAACUUUUCAUUAAGCAAAUGCGUGAGAUUUGGCCAAAAUUGAAAAGAUCAAAGCGGAAAAAAAUAGAUCCAAGGAUACUGCCGCAAAAAAGCAUGAACAUGCGUGAGUCUCACGCAUUUUUGGCAGCCCUGGUACAGCUGGAUAGUAUUAUUAUCAAAACUAAUUCGAUUGCA